GACGAACGCUGGCGGCGUGCUUAACACAUGCAAGUCGAACGGUAAGGCCCUUCGGGGUACACGAGUGGCGAACGGGUGAGUAACACGUGGGUGAUCUGCCCUGCACUUCGGGAUAAGCCUGGGAAACUGGGUCUAAUACCGGAUAGGACCACUGCCUGCAUGGGUGGUGGUGGAAAGCUUUUGCGGUGUGGGAUGGGCCCGCGGCCUAUCAGCUUGUUGGUGGGGUGAUGGCCUACCAAGGCGACGACGGGUAGCCGGCCUGAGAGGGUGACCGGCCACACUGGGACUGAGAUACGGCCCAGACUCCUACGGGAGGCAGCAGUGGGGAAUAUUGCACAAUGGGCGGAAGUCUGAUGCAGCGACGCCGCGUGAGGGAUGACGGCCUUCGGGUUGUAAACCUCUUUCAGCACCGACGAAGCGCAAGUGACGGUAGGUGCAGAAGAAGGACCGGCCAACUACGUGCCAGCAGCCGCCGUAA
Molecule: ribosomal RNA, 478 nt
Filed under: uncultured bacterium
Lineage: Bacteria
Description: partial 16S ribosomal RNA
Rfam family: Bacterial small subunit ribosomal RNA
Source: RNAcentral